GUACUUGGUCUAGGAUCAUUCCUUGAGUUGGCGGUGCACCCUAGAGGUAAGGGGAGCUAGCUUUCUUUCCAUUUUUAUAGUAUGUUGUGAAUGUAUGAUAAAUCUUAAAGUUGUAUGUUGUUGGAAGCAUGAAAUUGGUUGAAUUGGUUUGAAAUUUAUGUAUGAAAAUGGGUAUGUUAUGUAGAAUUGAUGAUUGAUGAUUUUGGACUGUUUGGAACCCCUUGGUAUGUUGAAUUAGGCAUGAUUGGGACUGUGAUGAUGAUUGAAAUCUGUUGUGGUAGUGUUUGGAAGAAAAUCAAGUCAUUUAAAGCCACUUUUAAGCCAUUUUAAGGGAAGUGAGGUAGU
This 345-nucleotide long non-coding RNA is filed under the name Vigna radiata. RNAcentral describes it as "long non-coding RNA (VRAD_LNC003711)". The record is from RNAcentral. Lineage: Eukaryota; Viridiplantae; Streptophyta; Magnoliopsida; Fabales; Fabaceae.